This 232-nucleotide long non-coding RNA is filed under the name Mytilus galloprovincialis (Mediterranean mussel). The record is from RNAcentral. Lineage: Eukaryota; Metazoa; Mollusca; Bivalvia; Mytilida; Mytilidae.
GUUAAAAAUAUAUAUUUAACAUGGGUGACGAAUUGACUAUAUCAGGUGUCGAUUUAACCAAGUGCCGAUUUGACUAUCCGGGUGCCAAUUUAACCAGGAGCCGGUUUGACUAUAAUUGUCUGAUAUUACCUGAGUUUCAUUAGACCUUUGAUAACAGUAACAAAAAGAUUAUUUACCUAAAAUUUUGUGGGGAGAAGGGGGUUCGGACUAUGUACCAGUGAGAAAUAUACAA